ACUUAAAUAGCUUAUAUAGAGUAUGACUUUGAAGAUGUCAUGGAGAUUUUAAUCUUUAGGUA
Molecule: transfer RNA, 62 nt
Filed under: Pseudoides sp. BMNH 850825
Lineage: Eukaryota; Metazoa; Arthropoda; Insecta; Coleoptera; Chrysomelidae
Description: tRNA-Phe
Source: RNAcentral